CGCGAGGUGGCCGACGCGGUGGUGCAGGUGGCCUUCGGGGGGCUGCGCAGGGCCUCCUGAUCCGAGCCGGGCCUCGCCUC
This 80-nucleotide transfer RNA is filed under the name Streptomyces tuirus. Its description in RNAcentral is "tRNA-Pro". Lineage: Bacteria; Bacillati; Actinomycetota; Actinomycetes; Kitasatosporales; Streptomycetaceae. The record is from RNAcentral.